Molecule: long non-coding RNA, 735 nt
Organism: Hypanus sabinus (Atlantic stingray)
Lineage: Eukaryota; Metazoa; Chordata; Chondrichthyes; Myliobatiformes; Dasyatidae
Exons: 4
Source: RefSeq, a predicted model, not a curated record
GCUCUAAAAUUUGAUCAUUUCUUUCCUGACACAGAUGAAGCUCAACCCAUAGAGUUCUUCCAGUAAAUUGUUGAUGCAGAAAUUGUGAUAAGUCUGUGGCCAUGGAUUGGAAGAGAGACAAUUAGUAUUUGGGACCAUAACCCUUGGGCCUCAGAUGUGCUAAGGCCACUCCUAUUUAUUCCAUGCAAUGUUCCUGCACUCUGCCUACAGACCUGCUAACAUGAGAAUGCUCGAAUGACCAAAAACAGGAAAGAAAGAAUUAUGUUAAUCCCUUUUAUAGUCAUAAACUCAAGUUGUUUUUCCUUUACUCAAAACUGAUUCUCAUCAAGAUGCUGCCUGACCUGCCGAGUUCCUUCAGCAUUUUGUGUGUGUAGCUCUGGACUUCCAGCAUCUGCAGAAUCUCUUGUGUUUAUGAAUUGUGAAGUAAUAGCUGUCGGAUCAUCAUAUUCUACUAGGAUAUAAAGAGUAAAUGACUGGAACUUUGGGAGGAAUUGAACAGGCAGAUCUUGAAGUACAAGUCCCUAUCUGCCUGGAAGUGGCAACACAGAUGAAAAAAGUGUGAAGAUGUCCUUUUCAUAUGCCUUCCUUUUAUAAAGCUGGUGUGUUCAGUAUAAGGAGUGGGAUUGCAAUGGCCUUAAACAUUGGUUUAAUAACUUUGACUUUCCCUCUGGCUUUCAAGAGGUCACCCUUUCUGAAGGAAGAAGACAUGAUCUAAUUUUCAUCAACUCAUAUGGG